RNAcentral lists this long non-coding RNA (293 nucleotides) under Gallus gallus (chicken). Lineage: Eukaryota; Metazoa; Chordata; Aves; Galliformes; Phasianidae. The record is from RNAcentral.
AGGGAUCUGGAGAUGUCCUAGAGAGGUUUGGGGGCAUCCAGGGGGUUCUGGACUCAUGCAGAAGAGUCUGGAGAUGUCCAAGGAGGAUCCAGGGAGUCCCCAGGCCUGCCUGCAGCCGGACCCGGUGACACCGGAGCCCUCCCUCUGGCGCUGUCACCAUCCUCUGUCCCGAGGACGGGAGGUGAACUCUGUGCCACCAGCAGAGGGGACCACGGGUGACAUCAGUGUGGAACAGCCGUGACGCGGCGGCGUUGUCAUUGGGUGUCACCGUCACGCAGAGGGGACAAAAGGAC